This 241-nucleotide ribosomal RNA is filed under the name uncultured bacterium. RNAcentral describes it as "partial 16S ribosomal RNA". It matches the Rfam family "Bacterial small subunit ribosomal RNA", at positions 15 to 248 of the family's 1533-position model. The record is from RNAcentral.
GAUCCUGGCUCAGGAUGAACGCUAGCUACAGGCUUAACACAUGCAAGUCGAGGGGCAGCAUGAUUGAAGCUUGCUUCAAUCGAUGGCGACCGGCGCACGGGUGAGUAACACGUAUCCAACCUGCCGAUAACUCGGGGAUAGCCUUUCGAAAGAAAGAUUAAUACCCGAUAGUAUAGUAUUUCCGCAUGGUUUCACUAUUAAAGAAUUUCGGUUAAUCGAUGGGAUGCGUUCCAUUAGAUAG